RNAcentral lists this ribosomal RNA (497 nucleotides) under uncultured bacterium. Its description in RNAcentral is "partial 16S ribosomal RNA". It matches the Rfam family "Bacterial small subunit ribosomal RNA", at positions 28 to 507 of the family's 1533-position model. The record is from RNAcentral.
GACGAACGCUGGCGGCGUGCCUAAUACAUGCAAGUUGAGCGCUGAAGGUUGGUACUUGUACCAACUGGAUGAGCAGCGAACGGGUGAGUAACGCGUGGGGAAUCUGCCUUUGAGCGGGGGACAACAUUUGGAAACGAAUGCUAAUACCGCAUAAAAACUUUAAACACAAGUUUUAAGUUUGAAAGAUGCAAUUGCAUCACUCAAAGAUGAUCCCGCGUUGUAUUAGCUAGUUGGUGAGGUAAAGGCUCACCAAGGCGAUGAUACAUAGCCGACCUGAGAGGGUGAUCGGCCACAUUGGGAUUGAGACACGGCCCAAACUCCUACGGGAGGCAGCAGUAGGGAAUCUUCGGCAAUGGACGAAAGUCUGACCGAGCAACGCCGCGUGAGUGAAGAAGGUUUUCGGAUCGUAAAACUCUGUUGGUAGAGAAGAACGUUGGUGAGAGUGGAAAGCUCAUCAAGUGACGGUAACUACCCAGAAAGGGACGGCUAACUACGUG